AAAGGAUAGAAGCUGAAUCCCGAGUAGUACGGGGCACGAGAAAUCCCGUAUGAAUCAGCGAGGACCAUCUCGUAAGGCUAAAUACUACUGUGUGACCGAUAGAGAACAAGUACCGCGAGGGAAAGGUGAAAAGAACCCCGGGAGGGGAGUGAAAAAGAACAUGAAACCGUGAGCUUACAAGCAGUGGGAGUCCGAUUAAACGGAUGACCGCGUGCCUGUUGAAGAAUGAGCCGGCGACUUAUAGGUACUGGUAGGUUAAAGCGGGAAUGCUGGAGCCAAAGGGAAACCGAGUCUGAAAAGGGCGAUAAUCAGUAUUUAUAGACCCGAACCCUGGUGAUCUAACCAUGGCCAGGAUGAAGCUUGGGUAAAACCAAGUGGAGGUCCGAACCGACCGAUGUUGAAAAAUCGGCGGAUGAGCGGUGGUUAGGGGUGAAAUGCCAAUCGAACCAGGAGCUAGCUGGUUCUCCCC
This 469-nucleotide ribosomal RNA is filed under the name Cylindrospermopsis raciborskii S01. Its description in RNAcentral is "bacterial LSU rRNA". It matches the Rfam family "Bacterial large subunit ribosomal RNA", at positions 389 to 860 of the family's 2925-position model. Lineage: Bacteria; Bacillati; Cyanobacteriota; Cyanophyceae; Nostocales; Aphanizomenonaceae. The record is from RNAcentral.